Molecule: non-coding RNA, 28 nt
Filed under: Mus musculus (house mouse)
Lineage: Eukaryota; Metazoa; Chordata; Mammalia; Rodentia; Muridae
Source: RNAcentral
UGAGCGCCAUCUUCCCUGACAGGGUCCU